This 492-nucleotide ribosomal RNA is filed under the name uncultured bacterium. RNAcentral's name for it is "partial 16S ribosomal RNA". It matches the Rfam family "Bacterial small subunit ribosomal RNA", at positions 29 to 507 of the family's 1533-position model. The record is from RNAcentral.
AGUGAACGCUGGCGGUAGGCCUAGCACAUGCAAGUCGAACGGCAGCACAGUAAGAGCUUGCUCUUACGGGUGGCGAGUGGCGGACGGGUGAGGAAUACAUCGGAAUCUACUUUUUCGUGGGGGAUAACGUAGGGAAACUUACGCUAAUACCGCAUACGACCUACGGGUGAAAGCAGGGGAUCUUCGGACCUUGCGCGAUUGAAUGAGCCGAUGUCGGAUUAGCUAGUUGGCGGGGUAAAGGCCCACCAAGGCGACGAUCCGUAGCUGGUCUGAGAGGAUGAUCAGCCACACUGGAACUGAGGCACGGUCCAGACUACUACGGGAGGCAGCAGUGGGGAAUAUUGGACAAUGGGCGCAAGCCUGAUCCAGCCAUACCGCGUGGGUGAAGAAGGCCUUCGGGUUGUAAAGCCCUUUUGUUGGGAAAGAAAAGCAGCAGGUUAAUACCCCGCUGUUCUGACGGUACCCAAAGAAUAAGCACCGGCUAACUUCGUG